CUGCGUACGGCUCAUUACACCAGCUGUAAUUUACUUGACCUUGACAUCCUACACGGAUAACUGUGGUAAUUCUAGAGCUAAUACGUGCACCAAAGCUCCGAUCUUCACAGAGAGGAGUGCAUUUGUUCGCCACAAAACCAAGCGCCUUCGGGCGUCUGUUGUUGACUCAGAACAACUCAGCUGAUCGCACGGUCUUGCACCGGCGACAUGUCUUUCAAGUGUCUGCCCUAUCAACUUUCGAUGGUAUGGUACGUGCCUACCAUGGUUGUGACGGGUAACGGAGGAUAAGGGUUCGACUCCGGAGAAGGGGCCUGAGAAAUGGCCACUACGUCUAAGGAUGGCAGCAGGCGCGCAAAUUACCCACUCUCGACUUGAGGAGGUAGUGACGAGAAAUAGCGAGACCGUUCUCAAAUGAGGCCGGUCAUCGGAAUGGGUACAAUUUAAACCCUUUAACGAGUAUCUAUGAGAGGGCAAGUCUGGUGCCAGCAGCCGCGGUAAUUCCAGCUCUCAAAAUGCAUAGAAUCAUUGCUGCGGUUAAAAAGCUCGUAGUUGGAUCUGUGCUGGCCGCCCGGUCUGCCCGCAGGGUAUGCACUGGAGCGGUUGGCUUUUGUGCUGGUCUUUCCCCGGCGUUGGCCUUUACCGGUCGGCGUCGGUGGGCUAGCGAGUUUACUUUGAACAAAUCAGAGUGCUUCAAACAGGCGUUUCGCUUGAAUGUUCGUGCAUGGAAUAAUGGAAGAGGAUUUCGGUCCGAUUUUAUUGGUUUUGCUGGCCGAGAUAAUGGUUAACAGAGACAAAC
Molecule: ribosomal RNA, 796 nt
Filed under: Heteroderidae sp. CD2532
Lineage: Eukaryota; Metazoa; Nematoda; Chromadorea; Rhabditida; Heteroderidae
Description: bacterial SSU rRNA
Rfam family: Eukaryotic small subunit ribosomal RNA
Source: RNAcentral